UCGAGAAUCAUUCACAAUGGGGGAAACCCUGAUGGUGCGACGCCGCGUGGGGGAAUGAAGGUCUUCGGAUUGUAAACCCCUGUCAUGUGGGAGCAAAUUAAAAAGAUAGUACCACAAGAGGAAGAGACGGCUAACUCUGUGCCAGCAGCCGCGGUAAUACAGAGGUCUCAAGCGUUGUUCGGAAUCACUGGGCGUAAAGCGUGCGUAGGCGGUUUCGUAAGUCGUGUGUGAAAGGCGGGGGCUCAACCCCCGGACUGCACAUGAUACUGCGAGACUAGAGUAAUGGAGGGGGAACCGGGAUUCUCGGUGUAGCAGUGAAAUGCGUAGAUAUCGAGAGGAACACUCGUGGCGAAGGCGGGUUCCUGGACAUUAACUGACGCUGAGGCACGAAGGCCAGGGGAGCGAAAGGG
RNAcentral lists this ribosomal RNA (410 nucleotides) under Acidobacteriota bacterium. RNAcentral describes it as "Acidobacteria bacterium partial 16S ribosomal RNA". It matches the Rfam family "Bacterial small subunit ribosomal RNA", at positions 355 to 776 of the family's 1533-position model. The record is from RNAcentral. Lineage: Bacteria; Pseudomonadati; Acidobacteriota.